Molecule: ribosomal RNA, 301 nt
Filed under: Salmonella enterica subsp. enterica serovar Heidelberg str. RI-11-013312
Lineage: Bacteria; Pseudomonadati; Pseudomonadota; Gammaproteobacteria; Enterobacterales; Enterobacteriaceae
Description: partial 23S ribosomal RNA
Rfam family: Bacterial large subunit ribosomal RNA
Source: RNAcentral
UCGGUCCCUAUCUGCCGUGGGCGCUGGAGAACUGAGGGGGCUGCUCCUAGUACGAGAGGACCGGAGUGGACGCAUCACUGGUGUUCGGGUUGUCAUGCCAAUGGCACUGCCCGGUAGCUAAAUGCGGAAGAGAUAAGUGCUGAAAGCAUCUAAGCACGAAACUUGCCCCGAGAUGAGUUCUCCCUGAGACUUAAAGUCUCCUGAAGGAACGUUGAAGACGACGACGUUGAUAGGCCGGGUGUGUAAGCGCAGCGAUGCGUUGAGCUAACCGGUACUAAUGAACCGUGAGGCUUAACCUUAC